Molecule: ribosomal RNA, 466 nt
Filed under: uncultured bacterium
Lineage: Bacteria
Description: partial 16S ribosomal RNA
Rfam family: Bacterial small subunit ribosomal RNA
Source: RNAcentral
GACGAACGCUGGCGGCGCGCCUAACACAUGCAAGUCGAACGAGCGAGAGAGAGCUUGCUUUCUCAAGCGAGUGGCGAACGGGUGAGUAACGCGUGAGGAACCUGCCUCAAAGAGGGGGACAACAGUUGGAAACGACUGCUAAUACCGCAUAAGCCCACAGGUCGGCAUCGACCAGAGGAAAAAGAAGCAAUCCGCUUUGAGAUGGCCUCGCGUCCGAUUAGCUAGUUGGUGAGGUAACGGCCCACCAAGGCAACGAUCGGUAGCCGGACUGAGGGGUUGAACGGCCACAUUGGGACUGAGACACGGCCCAGACUCCUACGGGAGGCAGCAGUGGGGAAUAUUGCACAAUGGGGGAAACCCUGAUGCAGCGACGCCGCGUGGAGGAAGAAGGUCUUCGGAUUGUAAACUCCUGUUGUUGAGGAAGAUAAUGACGGUACUCAACAAGGAAGUGACGGCUAACUACGUG